Molecule: ribosomal RNA, 1056 nt
Filed under: Ammonia sp.
Lineage: Eukaryota; Foraminifera; Rotaliida; Rotaliidae
Description: SSU rRNA
Rfam family: Eukaryotic small subunit ribosomal RNA
Source: RNAcentral
AAGGGCACCACAAGAACGCGUGGAGCAUGUGGCUUAAUUUGACUCAACGCGGGAAAUCUUACCGGGUCCGGACACACUGAGGAUUGACAGAUAUACGCGCAUAUACUCUCUCGUGGAGUAUAUACGUUCAAAGAUGCUAGUUCUUUCAUGAUUAUGUGAUAGGUGGUGCAUGGCCGUUCUUAGUUCGUGGAGUGAUCUGUCUGCUUAAUUGCGUAUCAAUAAUAGAGACCUAGUAUACGCGUAGACUCGUAUGGUAGUGACCCCCUCUUAACCGAGGCGCGUGUCGCACAUAUGUUAUACGCACUGGUCUCAGAUAGCAACGAACGUGACCGUACUCUAUUGUUGCAGUGAAAAUGUUGCCCUCGCGGCUAACAAACCCACUGCUUAGUGCGCGUGUUGUUUCGGCGACGCGUUAGUACAUUAAACUAUAGAGACCGCUGUUUCUUCUUUAAACCAGAGGAAGGAUACGGCAAUAACAGGUCUGUGAUGCCCUCAGAUGUUCCGGGCUGCACACGUGCUACAAUGAUCAUUGCACUGUGCAUCUAACCCAAUGUGCGCGGACGCCGCGUAUACGUGUUUCCUUCGGGACUCAUGUAUAUUGCUGAGCGACCGCGCCGAACCUACUUCGAAAGUAAAAUUUCUCUGUGGGUAAUCCAUUAGAAGUAAUGACUCGCAUAGACCAUGGCACACUAUAAAAGUACGCGCAGGUUCUACCCGGCUCGCCUUUGUGUGAGUGCAGUGCGUAGCUUGUUGUUUCGUACGUGCCACCUCGUAUUAAUUCGUACGUGGGGACAGAUCAUUGUUUAAUUGUUGGUCUCGGUCUUAACUAGGAAUGCCUUGUACGGGUCUCUGGUUCAACAUACCACCCGGAAUACGUCCCUGCCCUUUGUACACACCGCCCGUCGCUCUUACCGAUGGAUUAUACUAUGAAUCUAUAGGACUGCCAAAGCUACUCGCUCUCGGGCGGAAGCUUAGUAGAAAUAUAUAUGAAUAGUGUGAUCUAAAGGAAAGAGAAGUCGUAACAAGGCAUCGGUAGGUGAACCUGCAGAAGGAUCA